GGGGGAAUAUUGGGCAAUGGGCGAAAGCCUGACCCAGCAACGCCGCGUGAGGGAAGAAGGGUUUCGGCUCGUAAACCUCUGUCCUAUGGGACGAAGGAAGUGACGGUACCAUAGGAGGAAGCCCCGGCUAACUACGUGCCAGCAGCCGCGGUAAUACGUAGGGGGCGAGCGUUGUCCGGAAUGAUUGGGCGUAAAGGGCGCGUAGGCGGCCUGGUAAGUCUGGAGUGAAAGUCCUGCUUUUAAGGUGGGAAUUGCUUUGGAUACUGCUGGGCUUGAGUGCAGG
Molecule: ribosomal RNA, 283 nt
Filed under: uncultured bacterium
Lineage: Bacteria
Description: partial 16S ribosomal RNA
Rfam family: Bacterial small subunit ribosomal RNA
Source: RNAcentral